RNAcentral lists this long non-coding RNA (1537 nucleotides) under Macaca fascicularis (crab-eating macaque). RNAcentral's name for it is "lncRNA (ENSMFAG00000065641.1)". The record is from RNAcentral. Lineage: Eukaryota; Metazoa; Chordata; Mammalia; Primates; Cercopithecidae.
UUUUUUUUUUUUUUUUGCAUUUGGAAAAGAGAAAAAGCAUAUCUCUUAUUUUGUCUAAAAUUUUCCAGUUUAUUCACCAAUUCUGUUAUGACUUCCAACAUCUGAAUACCCUACUACUCAACAAACUCCGGGUAAAUUUCACAGUGCUAACAAAUUGUGUGUCCCAAUCUUAGUCAAACCAUUAUAAAAUACUGAUAAUUCUGAUCCUCUGCUUAUAUAGGAAUUGGUGUUCUGUGUGUUGUUUACAUGACUUACUCUGGUCACAAGCUCUGAACAUUUCCAGAAACUUGCAUUGGUAAAUGUUAGAACUUUACACGGACACUAAAAGAUCCCAUUUCUCUUUCUUAGGUGGCCUUUCAUCAGACACACAAUGUGUUCCUAAAUGUAUUUUGGGGAAAACUAACUCCACAGGUUCCCAAUAGCAUUCAUUUAAAUGAAGAAUAUGACACAAUCAAAUAAAAUUGGGAAAUACUGAAUUAAAAUAGCUCUUUACUACAGAAAUUCACAAAGUUUUGAAUAUAUUAAUGAGUACUGAGAAUAUCUGAGCUGGUGGAUAAAAUAUGAAGCUUUUCCCUUAGCUUGACUUGACCUUUGACCCCUUCUUGUGCAAAGUACGUUUUGGGACUAGUGCAAAACCAGCUUGUGAAAUGCUUUUUCUAAGCAAUAGAUCUACUUGAAAACAUUGACCUUCUGUAGAAAACUUAGUUAAUUUAAAUCUUCUAUGAUCUUACUAAGAAAUAUUUUAAUACCCCACGUGUCUAAAACAGAAAAGCAAACCAUAUAGUCUUUCCUCAUAAACUCAUUUGGAGUUCAGACCUACCCAUAAUUCCAGCUAAUCUUUCCUUCAAGCAUUCAUUUGCUAGAGUAACCUGGCUAUUUUUAUUAUGUACUUUUUCUUCUUAAAAUCAGUUGGCUCACUCUCAUAGAUAUCUUGCAGCUAUUUGUUUGUGUGUGUGUUUAUGCAUUCUUGGCUGCUAUAGACAGAAUUGUGUCUCCCUAAAACUCGUAUGUUAAAGGUCCUCACUUCCAAAGUGACUGUAUUUGGAGAUAGGGUCUAGAAGGGGGCAGUUACAGUUAAAUGAAGUCAUAAGAGUGAAGAAUUGAUUUGAGGAUUAAUUUCCUUGUAAGUGGAGAUACCAAAGAGAUUGUACUCUCUCUCUACCUUAUAAGGACACAGAGAAAGGGGAGCUGUCUGCAAACAAGGUAGAAAGCCGAAGCCUCCUGGGAGCUUGAUCUUGAACUUUACAGCCUCCAAACUGUAAAGAAAAUAUAUUUCUAAAUAUAUUCCUAUUGUUUAAGAUUAUGGCAUUUUGUUAUGAAAGUCAGAAUAGACUAAUAUAACUACCUAAUUAAUCCUCACAUCAGUUAUCCUCAGUUGUAUUUCCUCCUUUAACUAAAAACAAGUGAAUAUCACCCAGAAGGGUUACAGCCAAACUCAAGAAUUUGGAUGUUUUGAUUCCAGGGAUUUGUUAUGACAUAGUUCUUCCAUUAUUUUCAGUAGAACAGUUUUCUUAACUAGUACAAAAUCUGAACUCAU